CUAUGAUGAAUUGGCGCAGGACACAAACACGUAAAAGCUGGGCUUUUUGGGAAAUAUUUUAAUAGUUAUUGAAUGUUCUACAUCAUACAGUAAGUAUUAUACAAUUACAAACUUGCCUUGUCACCAGGACCACUAUCCGAUCCUCAUUAGAACAAAAACAGAUUUACACUUCAUAUACACAAGUCUGAUGUGGGUCUUUGCUUCAAGAACGUCCCAACCGCAUGUUAUAAAACGUUCUGCCAGCAUUGCUGCAACGUAGUGACAGAACAUAGCAAAGACUCUGGGGGCCAUUAGUUGGGAAGUAGUUUUAAUCUCAAGGUGCUGACUCUUAUAAAGUCGGUCUUAAAAAUAGAUACUCUUUUUGUGAAGACGAGUAUACUUCUCUCUCUCGAAAUUAGUGUUCAAAUCAAAAGUUUGACAAGGCCGAAGUUCAUCGUGACCAAAGGAAACAGAAAAGGCAUAGGGAUUGUUACUCUUUCAUGUUCAACAUUGGUGGAGCUGCUUGCUUCUCGACCUCCAGGCAAUGAGACACCCAGGGCAGCUCCCAGCUCUUAAAAUUGCAGACUGAGUUUGCUACGUUGCAGGGAUGUUACACAUAACAUGAAGUGAACAGCGGUGAAACAUACUGUAGCAAAAGGAGCUUUGAUCCCCGUUUACAAAUCUCAUGUCUCAAUCCACAAUCUCUGGACCCAUACCCUUUAGCAUUUUUUAAUAAACAUGAAUUGUAGUGUAAGGACUUGACUCCAGGCUAGAUUUCAGUCUACAGUAUUCCCAGUUAGCACAUUCGGUUCCCUAGAUGUUCAGGGAACAUCUGUUUAUGGUGUCAGUUAGGUUCUGGGAACAUUUCUCGUGUGUUUCAAUGCACUGGGCGUUUGAGGGGAAAGGCCAGCGAGUGGGGACUGUAUGCCAGUCGUUUCUGACCAGCUCAACCAUAAUGAUCUUCUAUUUUAAGAAUAAUAAACAUCAAUCAAUCAACAAAACCUUAAAUAACACUUAUGGUAAAAAGCUCUUAAAUUACAUACCAGAAAUGAAAACUGUAUCAUUCUUUUAA
This 1051-nucleotide long non-coding RNA is filed under the name Oncorhynchus kisutch (coho salmon). RNAcentral's name for it is "lncRNA (ENSOKIG00005005702.1)". Lineage: Eukaryota; Metazoa; Chordata; Actinopteri; Salmoniformes; Salmonidae. The record is from RNAcentral.